CUGUGAAGAUGCAGUGUACCCGCGGCAAGACGGAAAGACCCCGUGAACCUUUACUAUAGCUUGACACUGAACACUGGUCCUUGAUGUGUAGGAUAGGUGGGAGGCUUUGAAGCGUGGACGCCAGUCUGCGUGGAGCCAACCUUGAAAUACCACCCUUUAAUGGCUGGUGUUCUAACGUAGACCCGUGAUCCGGGUUGCGGACAGUGUCUGGUGGGUAGUUUGACUGGGGCGGUCUCCUCCCAAAGAGUAACGGAGGAGCACGAAGGUUAGCUAAUCCUGGUCGGACAUCAGGAGGUUAGUGCAAUGGCAUAAGCUAGCUUGACUGCGAGAGUGACGGCUCGAGCAGGUGCGAAAGCAGGUCAUAGUGAUCCGGUGGUUCUGAAUGGAAGGGCCAUCGCUCAACGGAUAAAAGGUACUCCGGGGAUAACAGGCUGAUACCGCCCAAGAGUUCAUAUCGACGGCGGUGUUUGGCACCUCGAUGUCGGCUCAUCACAUCCUGGGGCUGAAGUAGGUCCCAAGGGUAUGGCUGUUCGCCAUUUAAAGUGGUACGCGAGCUGGGUUUAGAACGUCGUGAGACAGUUCGGUCCCUAUCUGCCGUGGGCGCUGGAGAAUUGAGGGGGGCUGCUCCUAGUACGAGAGGACCGGAGUGGACGCAUCACUGGUGUUCGGGUUGUCAUGCCAAUGGCACUGCCCGGUAGCUAAAUGCGGAAGAGAUAAGUGCUGAAAGYAUCUAAGCACGAAACUUGCCCYGAGAUGAGUUCUCCCUGAGACUUUAAGUCUCCUGAAGGAACGUUGAAGACUACGACGUUGAUAGGUCGGGUGUGUAAGCGCAGCGAUGCGUUGAGCUAACCGAUACUAAUGAACCGUGAGGCUUAACCUU
RNAcentral lists this ribosomal RNA (880 nucleotides) under Metapseudomonas otitidis. Its description in RNAcentral is "partial 23S ribosomal RNA". Lineage: Bacteria; Pseudomonadati; Pseudomonadota; Gammaproteobacteria; Pseudomonadales; Pseudomonadaceae. The record is from RNAcentral.